Molecule: long non-coding RNA, 765 nt
Organism: Alligator mississippiensis (American alligator)
Lineage: Eukaryota; Metazoa; Chordata; Crocodylia; Alligatoridae
Exons: 4
Source: RefSeq, a predicted model, not a curated record
UUCUUGGCUUUAUCCUCAACUUGCUAUGUAAUUUUGGGGGAGCCACAUAAACUCUCUGUGUGCCACCGCUCCCCUUCUGUAAGUCGCAGCUCCGGGCAAACCAUUCUGUGAUGUCAGUGUGAUGUCCACAACCACUAGGAUGAUGUCACACGGCAUGAAGUUUUCUCAGUUCACUCAAGAAAUCUGCAAGCAAGUUCACUCACACUAUCUUGAACAGAGAUUUGGUUUCCCCUGCAAAAAUCGUCAGUGCAAAGAUCAAGGGAAAGAGAAAUGCAGAAAAUAUCGCGUCAAAAUUCCAGAGGACAGAUCGCAUCAGAAGUUGUCUGCAAAUGUCAGGAUUUUUCAAAUGUCCUGACUGCUUCUAAAGAGAAAAUAGCAACUUGGUAUUUUCUGUUCGUCGUAUUGAAAUUAAAUAUUUCAACAGAAGGGGACUGUGUAGGUCCAAGGGAUGUGAGAUCACAUGGUCGCUCAGGAAGCAUGGACUCUGUUUCCAAUCUCUGCCACUGCCUGACCACAGCACCUUGUGAAGGUCAUUACCCCUCUCUCUUCUUCAGUUUUAUCAGCUGACCAUUGUAUCGCUUCAUACAAUGCUUUGAGAUAUAAAAUAAAGAUGGAAAAAUCCCCUGUGUAUGUUAACUGGAACCUGUCCCUUUUUAAUUUUUUUUGCUCAUUUUUCCACAGCACACUCUCAUCCUUGUCUCUUCUAGAAAAGUAUGUCUCUACAUUCAGUCAAAGCGAUACAAAAAUAAAUGGAAGAGAGAAGCC